Molecule: long non-coding RNA, 645 nt
Filed under: Medicago truncatula (barrel medic)
Lineage: Eukaryota; Viridiplantae; Streptophyta; Magnoliopsida; Fabales; Fabaceae
Description: lncRNA gene35730
Source: RNAcentral
CAACAUACAAAUAUCCAACACAUUUUACAUUAUCGAAGUAUAUCAAUCACACUAUAGUCUAUAGCAUAUGAAAUACCGAGAAAAAUCUCAAUGGUAUCAUUACUACGACAUAUUUAUUAAACUAUAUAAUUACAAGUAGAGUAAAAACUAUUUAUGAUUCUCUGCCUUAUUUUAUUUCAUUAUCAUUAUCUUAGAGUACAAAAACUUAUUUGAUACUAACAUUAUAACUAAAUGACAACUUGUAAAAUAUUUUAGUAGGACGUUUUUGUACUGCCUUAAGUCCAGCCGUAAAUGCAUAAUCACUCGGGAAUAGGAAUGAACAUGUUUCUUAAACACUUGCAUUUACCCUUUGAACAGAUCAUUCUCCGUCCAGGUAAACAAUACUUAGUAGGUGAACAAUCAGAAACUUUUACACAUUCAUCUGAUGCUGCAAUAAAAAAAGAGAAUAAAAGAAUAUAAUUAAAAUGAGAUGAAAUGUUAUUUACAAAGUAAAGAACGAAAUUUGUAAUGGAUAAAAAAUAUAUUACCAUCAACGUUCAUUGAAACAAGAAAUACAUAAAAAAAGAUAAUCAUAACAUAAAUCAACUUAACAAUUUCAGCCAUACUGACACUCUUCACAUGUAACAAAUAGUUUUAUCACUUAUU